Molecule: ribosomal RNA, 119 nt
Filed under: Lupinus angustifolius (narrow-leaved blue lupine)
Lineage: Eukaryota; Viridiplantae; Streptophyta; Magnoliopsida; Fabales; Fabaceae
Source: RNAcentral
AGGUGCGAUCAUAUCAGCACUAAUGCACCGGAUCCCAUCAGCACUCCGCAGUCAAGCGUGCUUCGGCAAGAGUAGUACUAGGAUCGGUGACAUCCUGGGAAGUACUCGUGUUGCACCUC